This 497-nucleotide ribosomal RNA is filed under the name uncultured bacterium. Its description in RNAcentral is "partial 16S ribosomal RNA". It matches the Rfam family "Bacterial small subunit ribosomal RNA", at positions 28 to 507 of the family's 1533-position model. The record is from RNAcentral.
GAUGAACGCUGGCGGCGUGCCUAAUACAUGCAAGUCGAGCGAACGGACGAGAAUCUUUCUUCUCUGAUGUUAGCGGCGGACGGGUGAGUAACGCGUGGAUAACCUACCUAUAAGACUUGGAUAACUUCGGGAAACCGUAGCUAAUACCGUAUAAUAUUUUGAACCGCAUGUUUCAAAAGUGAAAUACGGGCUUGCUGUCACUUAUAGAUCUAUCCGCGCUGCAUUAGCUAGUUGGUAAGGUAACGGCUUAACAAGUCAACGAAGCAUAGCCGACCUGAGAGGAUGGUCGGCCACACUGGAACUGAGACACGGUCCAGAGUCCUACGGGAGGCAGCAGUAGGGAAACUUCAGCAAUGGGCGGAAAACAGACGAAGAAACGCCGAAUGAUGAAUGAAGGUCUUCGGAUCGUAAAACUCUGUUAUUAGGGAGGAAAACAUGUGUAAGUAACUGUACACAUCUUGAAGGUACCUAGUCAGAGAACCACGGCUAACUACGGG